RNAcentral lists this long non-coding RNA (556 nucleotides) under Homo sapiens (human). RNAcentral describes it as "non-protein coding lnc-ABCC9-2:1". Lineage: Eukaryota; Metazoa; Chordata; Mammalia; Primates; Hominidae. The record is from RNAcentral.
GUCAAUUACACCUGACCUUGGAGUGUGACACUGAGUCUCUAACCCUGCACAGCCUCCUGGGCACGAGAGCUUGAGCUUCACUGACAGUCUCAAGGGCUUCUGCAACCUCAGCAACCCUGGGCAGUGACAUCAUCCAGGAGGCCUGGGCUGUGGCUGUUGGUGCGAGGUGGGGAGGCAGGCAGCUGGUGACCAGGACUGAGAACUUGUCCCAGGCCACGAGCCUCCCCAUUGAGAAGGCAAGCAGACUCACAGUUUUUUGGCAUCUCAGGGAUGCUGCAGCAGUGACCUAGUUCUUUCAAAGGGUCUGUGGAUUCUCUUGACUUUCCUGAUAUGUUCCUGCAGUAGUUCUGGGAGCCAAAGUUCACAAUGUGAGUCUCCACAUGCUGCUCUGUCUGUCUAAGUGGAAGCUACAAACUAGUCUUGCUUCCUAUCUGCCAUUUUCACUCAAUCACGCCAAGAUGUCUUUAUAACAUAAAGAUGCAAGGAGAAACAGCAAGUGCUAAUGAAGAAGCUGCAGCAGGUUAUCCAGAAGAUUUAAUUAAGAUCAUUGAUGAAG